Molecule: ribosomal RNA, 253 nt
Filed under: uncultured bacterium
Lineage: Bacteria
Description: partial 16S ribosomal RNA
Rfam family: Bacterial small subunit ribosomal RNA
Source: RNAcentral
UACGUAGGGCGCAAGCGUUAUCCGGAAUUAUUGGGCGUAAAGAGCUCGUAGGCGGUUUGUCGCGUCUGCCGUGAAAGUCCGGGGCUCAACUCCGGAUCUGCGGUGGGUACGGGCAGGCUAGAGUGAUGUAGGGGAGACUGGAAUUCCUGGUGUAGCGGUGAAAUGCGCAGAUAUCAGGAGGAACACCGAUGGCGAAGGCAGGUCUCUGGGCAUUAACUGACGCUGAGGAGCGAAAGCGUGGGGAGCGAACAGG